Molecule: long non-coding RNA, 1235 nt
Filed under: Homo sapiens (human)
Lineage: Eukaryota; Metazoa; Chordata; Mammalia; Primates; Hominidae
Description: non-protein coding lnc-LMTK3-4:10
Source: RNAcentral
AAACAGGCUCAGCCCAAACAAUGGCCUGGAACGCCCGGCUUUCGGGCCCCGCCGGAAGCCCGUCCAGCGCCCAACAAAAGCGGCGCGACAAGUCUACGACUGAGCCGAACGCUUCUGGGCGCCGCGCGCCAGGGGGAAACGUUCGCGGCGGAACGUUCAGGAGAAAACGCUCCAGCAACUCCCAGCCGACCCCGCCCCUCCCCGACCUACCAUAGACGCCGUCCUCCAUGGCGGCUAGGAAGGCCCGCGGGGAAUCCGGGGCGGUCCCGCCAGUCGGGCCUGGAUCCGCGUUGGCCCGCGGGCUCGGGUGAGCCCGCUCAAACGCCCCGGGAGCCACCGCCGCCUCCUCAGCGCCAGUCCUCAGCGCUGAAAAGACUCUUCCCUUCGUCGCCCAACCGCCCCUUCAGUAGGGACCGCCCCUCUUUUUGACACUGUCCAAUCCACAGUGGGCGCUUUCGUCCUCCCCGCCCUCGCCACCAAAGGAUCGUUCUCCAGGGCCAACAGUCGUACAAAAAGCCGGUGUAGGUAUGUCCGGCCAGAGGUAGACGGCCCGCGGGGCCAAUCGGAGUGCAGGCAGGGCAGCAGGCCCCGCCUCCGAAACAACAGAAAGCACUUGACAGGCUUGCUCUCCAAUGAGAAGCCCCGGAAAAGUGUCGCGCGGAGGCGGAGCCACGCGGUACAGCCACCUCUGCGCCUGCUCAAAGGCCCUGGACACUUGGAGUCUAGACACCCGAGUUCAGAGCCAGCCUCCAAGAGUAUCUUACAUCCCAGCGUCUCCUGGAAGGCCGUAUGAUCCAGCACUGGGGAGAGGAGGGAAAUCCCCAGGACUCGAAUGCCCAUCCCACCCUUGGUGUAGUGAGGACUCAUCCUGCUGGAAAGGCCCCUGAAGAACUUCAAGUUCCAAUAUCCCGUUUUUACAGAUGGGGAAACUGACAUGAAGAGGAGUCCAAAGUGACACAGUCAGGCCAGAAAUGUUGCUUCUGAAGUCCUGAGUCCACCUCCUAGCACUGCCAAGCAGUCCACCUGGAGGUGAUGAGAACUUCCAGGCUUUGGUAAUGGACAACUCUGUAUCCCUGGAGCCUUCAUUCCUUUUGGCAUUACAGAACCACAAGAAGUCAUCUAGAAUCAUUGAGAUUCUCAACUCCAUUGGGCAAACUGGAACCAGCAAAAUCUCAGAUAUCUAGAAUUGCCACUGCUUCCUUGACUCUGUGAUCAGUCUACAGCCACAGAAUCCU